GACAAAAAUAAAAUAUACAUAUAAAUAGAGAGGUAACUAAAUAUCACCACAACAAAAUAUGCGGAAGUAACUUAACUGACAUCUAUUGUAAAACUGUAUGUUACCCCACCAUGCCCAAGCCUCAAGUGGUAAGAGGCUAAAGUAAAUUAAAAUAUCAGUGGAAGAUGAAUAAAGUUUUUAACUGAGGUAGCUGAGAUGUAAUUUGCCGCGGUUC
Pelobates cultripes (western spadefoot toad) is the source of this 214-nucleotide non-coding RNA. The record is from the annotation of a GenBank genome assembly. Lineage: Eukaryota; Metazoa; Chordata; Amphibia; Anura; Pelobatidae.